UAGAACCACAUGAUGUUGUGAAUCAGU
Molecule: non-coding RNA, 27 nt
Filed under: Mus musculus (house mouse)
Lineage: Eukaryota; Metazoa; Chordata; Mammalia; Rodentia; Muridae
Source: RNAcentral